Molecule: ribosomal RNA, 234 nt
Filed under: uncultured bacterium
Lineage: Bacteria
Description: partial 16S ribosomal RNA
Rfam family: Bacterial small subunit ribosomal RNA
Source: RNAcentral
UACGUAGGGUGCGAGCGUUAAUCGGAAUUACUGGGCGUAAAGCGUGCGCAGGCGGUUUUGUAAGCCAGGUGUGAAAUCCCCGGGCUCAACCUGGGAAUGGCAUUUGGGGACUGCAAGGCUGGAGUGUGGCAGAGGAGACUGGAAUUCCUGGUGUAGCAGUGAAAUGCGUAGAUAUCAGGAGGAAUACCGAUGGCGAAGGCGGUCUCUGGGCUGACACGUGACGCUCGAGUGCAC